This 253-nucleotide ribosomal RNA is filed under the name uncultured bacterium. RNAcentral describes it as "partial 16S ribosomal RNA". It matches the Rfam family "Bacterial small subunit ribosomal RNA", at positions 524 to 776 of the family's 1533-position model. The record is from RNAcentral.
UACGGAGGGGGCUAGCGUUGUUCGGAAUUACUGGGCGUAAAGCGCGCGUAGGCGGACCUGCAAGUCGGGGGUGAAAGCCCGAGGCUCAACCUCGGAACUGCCUUCGAUACUGCGGGUCUCGAGUCCGGGAGGGGUGAGUGGAAUUCCUAGUGUAGAGGUGAAAUUCGUAGAUAUUAGGAAGAACACCAGUGGCGAAGGCGGCUCACUGGCCCGGUACUGACGCUGAGGCGCGAAAGCGUGGGGAGCAAACAGG